CUAGUUUUAUUUUAGUUUUAUUUGACUUUACACUGGCAUAAAAGUAUACAAAUCAAUACAUAAAAUGAGUUGGGUAGAUGGCCUUAGCUUUAGACGUUCUUCAGAGGCAACAAAUCGGUACAAAAAGAUACAAAGAAGAAAAUAGUUAAAAAUACCAAGCCAUUGACUGGCAAGGAGGAACAGGUGACCAGCACCUCUACAAAGCCUUCCUACCACAAAGAAUGUCCCCUAAAUCUAAUAAUCAACCCACAGUUAAAAACUAAAAGAGUCUUAAAUGCUGAAAAGGAGACAUUAGACCUGACUGACAGUGGAAGCUGGUUCCACAUGGGGACAAUCUGCUGAAAAUAAAAAGACUUGUGGGGCUCUGUUUUACAACGAGGAACUAAUCAUACUUUCCCCAUAGACCUAACUUUUAUUCCUAUAAAGGCAUUAACGAUGUUUUUGUUUUUCACAGUUCGUUAGCGAUUAAUCCUGAAGGGGGAAUUGUAGCAAAUAACUGCACAAACGGCGGCACUGGUGACGAGGGUUUGGUUAAGUAUUGAGGUCCCAGGUAAUAUAUAUGGUGAACCUGAUCUUCACUAAGCUGAGGUGAUGCAUACCACCACGGACUGUGGUCAUGCACAAGAUUUGGUAAUGUAUCAGUUUAGUUAUUUGAGGUUAAACUUUACUGGUGAAGAACUACUUCUAAAAUGGAUCAACUUUUAAAUGGAGCAGCUACGCCAAUAAUUUGGAGAAUCAUGAACAAAUCUAAAUCUUAGUUUAUUGAUAAUUAGGAAGGAAAGUGAAACAUUCAACAAAACAAAACAAAAAGAAAAUGAUGAACUUGAAUCUCUCCACAAAACAAAUCUCUUCAGUAGUAAAGACAGUUUGUAACCAGCAGUACAAAUGACUAGUAUCAUUUGAUAUUCUACAAAAGCAAGAUGGAAAAACCGACCAACCACCGAGGAAAAACAACCUGAAAAACCAGUUUGCUUGAUUUCACAAAAAUGUGCUGGAACAAUCCAAACAAAUUGAAAAGCCUUCUUGGAGUAAUGUUGGUCCGCUCUUCUUGCAGUUUAUCACAAAGAUAUGUAAAUGCUAAUUUCAACUAAAUCUUCCCUCAGUUGAGCAGUUUCCUUUGGAGUGGUUACCACAACUGGACCUGUUUGGAUGAGCAUCGUUGGAGGAAACGGGGGAGAGUCGUCUCUUGUGCAGCUGUGACUACACCCUAGACGCCAGACCUGUUUGGAUGAUCGUUUCGAGAGUGUUGCAAAGAGUCAAAAAUAGUCGGCCAGACUGAGAAGAUGGCCUCUGGAGAUAACCUACACCCAAACUUGAGGCUAUAUACUGAAUGCUUACUGGACUAAGUGGCACCAUCAUCUACAGAAAGAAGGACUGUGUCCCAUGCUACAAGUUGAACUGAUGAAUUUGAUGUCCAGAUGUUGAUGCUAAGUGACACUGGACUGUGUUCCACCAACUGAAGUGGAGCAGUCUCUUUUGGAGUGGUGACUACAACCGAACCUGUUUGGAGGAGCAUCGAUGGAUAAUGCAGGAGUGAAGAUUAACAGAAUGCGUGAUUGAGAAGAUGCCUUUUGGAGAUGACACAAUACCAAUCUUGAGGCUUCAAUCGAUGCUUUUUGGACUGAGUUCCACCAACUGAAGGAUUGUGUCAAGUCCAGCUAGGCUGCAAGUUUAACUGUCGAGAUUGAGAAGAUGCCCUGUGAAGAUGACCUACACCCAAUCUUGAGGCUAAUCAUUGCCACUGUAUGAGGGAGGACGACGUCAAGUCUAGCCUGGUGUUUCUCUCCUUAACUCUUAAAGUGACUUCAGGAUGUUAGCGUAACCAAUGUUUUUUGGACUGCGUGCCACCAGCUGAAGGACUAUGCCAAAUUUAGCAAGGUGACUCUCCGCUAUAAUUUGAACUUACAAAAUGGAAGGUCCCCAUGGAAGAAAGACUGUGUCAAUCCUAGCCUGAUAAUGUUCAACUGCUAAACAGAUGUAUGGAUUUUGAGCUCACCAACGUUUUUUGGACUGGUGCCAACAGCUGAAAGACUAUGUCAAGUUUACCCAGUCUCUGCUACAAGUUGAUAUUGAUGCUACUUUUGUAACUUGUGCAUAUUAUUGGAAGAUUGCCAUUUGUUGACUGCAGAAAGACUACGUCAAGUCUCUCCGCUACAAGUACAACUCGCAUAGUGAUGUUGACGCUACAUUUGUAACUAAGACUUUUUUGUGGAAGGUCGCCAUAGAAGAAAGACUUUUGAGUUUAAUAGUCAGAUGAUGUUCAACUAAUACAAUUUGGACAAUGAUGGCGCCAUUUAUUUUACUAUAAUGAAGAGGAGAGGACCAUCUUAGUCCGCGCCGAACUUACAGCCAUGGCUAUGUAUGUGGCUGUUGCUAUGGCUUCAUGUGUUGCUGCUAGUACAUGUUGACAUGGCAACCAAGCCACAUCCACAGUCACUACCUUAGUAACGGCCUUAGAUUAGUGUUUACUCAAUUGGCUUUUCUUGACUCCAUCAAACUCUAAUUAUGCUACAAUUCAGCUCUGUAUAUUCACAUCAAUUGAUUUGAUUAAAAUUGGCACGCCUGGCCCUCAUGCCAAGCAGUGUUUGUUUAUCGUGGUAAAACAAAUAAAUUAAAUUCAAGUACAAUACCCAUUGGAUUUUGAUGGUGUCUGAGUAGUUAGGAGUACAACGUUAAAGAUAUGGUAUAGCUUUGGUAAAGAGAAGUAAAGGACUAAUACAUUUAUGAUACCAAAUUUGUCAGUGUAUGUGCGCCAUUUAUGAAGUGUUUUUCCUUGCCAAGACCGUUUUGGCUACAAAUAACGUAUAAGUGAAAUUGUCAACAGUAAAUACAGGGAGACUCGGAAGUGAAAUUGUCAACAGUAAAUACAGGGAGACUCGGAUUUUGUCAAACUUAAACUGCGUGUUACCACUUAAUUGCUCAGAAAUGCUAGAAAUCAUUGCAAGGAAAGCUCAGGGUUAGUCGAAUAAGCUUAUGUAUAAUAAAACAAAUUAUGAAGGUACAAUGUAGAAAAUCUUAUGACAAAAUUGUGAUGUUAAUUUUCAAGUAUCUAAGUAUUUUUAAGGAAAUAACUUCCACUUUGUAGGAUUGAAUCAAAGUUAUUCUAGGCUCAAUAAUUAUCAUAUUCAAAGAAGUGUGGGAAAGUGUACUUGAGCGCAAAAUAGACAAAUACAUGUUUUAUUGAAAUGUGCGUAUUAGUGAAACGCGCAUUGAGCAGGGCCCAAUUCACUUUGUGUGCUUAAGCAUGUAGCUCUAUGUAUAUAGGCCCAGACUCCUGCUGCAAUGUCAACACAAACCACGGCAAUGAUCACAUCACCAGGGCUCGGUUUCACAAAGAGCUUAAGAUAAGUUCAGUCUUAGUUACUGGGCAAUGUGUGAUGAUGCCAUAGUACAAAUCACCAUGGUGAUAUUGACAACUUGUCUUUAGUUGAAUUUUAGUGUUUUUGUGAAACCGAACUCUGUACUCCUCACCCUAACCCUGCACU
Molecule: long non-coding RNA, 3485 nt
Organism: Asterias rubens (European starfish)
Lineage: Eukaryota; Metazoa; Echinodermata; Asteroidea; Forcipulatida; Asteriidae
Exons: 5
Source: RefSeq, a predicted model, not a curated record